Molecule: ribosomal RNA, 373 nt
Filed under: uncultured Actinomycetes bacterium
Lineage: Bacteria; Bacillati; Actinomycetota; Actinomycetes
Description: bacterial SSU rRNA
Rfam family: Bacterial small subunit ribosomal RNA
Source: RNAcentral
AGGCGACGACGGGUAGCCGGCCUGAGAGGGCGACCGGCCACACUGGGACUGAGACACGGCCCAGACUCCUACGGGAGGCAGCAGUGGGGAAUAUUGCGCAAUGGGCGAAAGCCUGACGCAGCGACGCCGCGUGAGGGAUGAAGGCCUUCGGGUUGUAAACCUCUUUCAGCAGGGACGAAGCGAAAGUGACUGUACCUGCAGAAGAAGCACCGGCUAACUACGUGCCAGCAGCCGCGGUAAUACGUAGGGUGCAAGCGUUGUCCGGAAUUAUUGGGCGUAAAGAGCUCGUAGGCGGUUUGUCGCGUCGGAUGUGAAAACUUGGGGCUCAACCCCGAGCCUGCAUUCGAUACGGGCAAACUAGAGUUCGGUAGGG